UUCGCCCCUUCGAUUCCACUGGGAAGAUGCCCGAACUUGAUCAUUUAGAGGAAGUAAAAGUCGUAACAAGGUUUCCGUAGGUGAACCUGCGGAAGGAUCAUUAACGGCACUGCCGAGAUAGAACUGAGACACUCUACCGAGAAGGUGGUAGAUACUGAGGGGCGAGACCACCCACCCGUUCGCGGGCGGAGUGGGCACGCCUCGCACGCCACCGGCACUUGUGCCGGCAAGCGGUUGUUCAGUGACGGUUGGUCGCCAUGAGAACACUCCGCGCGGCGUGACGGGCGUCAGAGCCCCCGAGAAAUCGAACGAACUGACGGAAGGACGAAGCCGAUCUCGCAGGCGGAAGGCCGUGGUACCCAUGAUGGUUUAAAGGCCCCUAGCAGGGUCGCCAACGGCCUCCGACCUUGGUGAGCGGCGCCUUGAACGGUGAUGCGGGGCGCGGUCUGGCGUGACCUCCCUUGUGGUCGCACGCCGCGCGCCUCGCGAAACAAAGAACGGACCUGUCCGAAGGUGUCAUGUGAAUGGCUUGUAACGCACAACCCUGAACGGUGGAUCACUCGGCUCGUGGGUCGAUGAAGAACGCAGCAAAUUGCGCGUCGACAUGUGAACUGCAGGACACAUGAACAUCGACGUUUCGAACGCACAUUGCGGUCCUUGGAUUUCCAAUCCCGGACCACGCCUGGCUGAGGGUCGGCCUUCUGAAACCACUGGGCCCGCCGCGUACGGCUGCGGGCCCGAAGAUGAGGGCACUCCCGCUCACCUUCCCCGGUGGGAUCGGGCGACGCUCUUGAAGACUGCAAUAGCGCUGUUGUGUGGGCUACCGCGCCCU
RNAcentral lists this ribosomal RNA (832 nucleotides) under Reticulitermes speratus. RNAcentral describes it as "eukaryotic LSU rRNA". The stretch from base 541 to 696 matches the Rfam family "5.8S ribosomal RNA". The record is from RNAcentral. Lineage: Eukaryota; Metazoa; Arthropoda; Insecta; Blattodea; Rhinotermitidae.